Molecule: ribosomal RNA, 470 nt
Filed under: Pseudomonas aeruginosa
Lineage: Bacteria; Pseudomonadati; Pseudomonadota; Gammaproteobacteria; Pseudomonadales; Pseudomonadaceae
Description: bacterial SSU rRNA
Rfam family: Bacterial small subunit ribosomal RNA
Source: RNAcentral
CGGACCUCACGCUAUCAGAUGAGCCUAGGUCGGAUUAGCUAGUUGGUGGGGUAAAGGCCUACCAAGGCGACGAUCCGUAACUGGUCUGAGAGGAUGAUCUGUCACACUGGAACUGAGACACGGUCCAGACUCCUACGGGAGGCAGCAGUGGGGAAUAUUGGACAAUGGGCGAAAGCCUGAUCCAGCCAUGCCGCGUGUGUGAAGAAGGUCUUCGGAUUGUAAAGCACUUUAAGUUGGGAGGAAGGGCAGUAAGUUAAUACCUUGCUGUUUUGACGUUACCAACAGAAUAAGCACCGGCUAACUUCGUGCCAGCAGCCGCGGUAAUACGAAGGGUGCAAGCGUUAAUCGGAAUUACUGGGCGUAAAGCGCGCGUAGGUGGUUCAGCAAGUUGGAUGUGAAAUCCCCGGGCUCAACCUGGGAACUGCAUCCAAAACUACUGAGCUAGAGUACGGUAGAGGGUGGUGGAAUUU